CAAUAUCACCCCAAAAAGAGUAUCAAAUCAUCAGCAAACCAAACAUGGGUUGUAUUGAGCUUUUUACACUUUGGGUGAAACUUAAACAUUUUGUUCUGAUAAAGUCUGUUGUAUUAGCUAUUUGUUGCCACGUCUUCUUCUCUAAUUUACUCCAGUUUUCAAGUUCUGAAGCAUCUUCUUCUCAUUUUCAAUCAAAACAGAAUUAUCAAAAUCUAGAGCCGAUUUCUUUUGGAUAUCAAGUGAUUGAAUUUUAGUGUGCUCAAAUCUUUGAGUUGUAUUCUGAAAUAAAGUAUUCAAAUAUUUCAAUACAAGAUAUCCAUGACCAAUUUGGUAGCGAUAGAUGUAUUGCGGGAUAAAGAUUGGAUGGUUAAGUAUAAAAGAUCAAUCUGUCAUGAGAGAAGUAUUUGAUUGUUAAUAUGGCAUUGAAGAUAUUAACCGCAGAAGAGAGAAAUCAUCUAUAUGAAAGAAUGCGUAGAUGUAUAGUUUGUAUUCGAAAUGAGAGAGAACUUUAUGGUGGAGGAGUUUUUGCAGAGGUUCGUUCUAAACAAAUGAUAUUGACAUGUGCUCAUGUUGCACACGGAAAAAAAAAAUUGCGGAUCGAUUGUUUUGAUAGAAAAAGUGAUUUGGCAAUUUUGGAUGUUGUAAACAAACUUGAAGGCGGUUUUCAGUGUGCUCAACUUCUUGAAGAGAAUGAUAUGAUUAUGGAUUUAAGGCUUCAGAGACUCACUUCAUUGGUCAUCCAGGACGCCUAGCUUUUUCUUACAAUGUCGGUAAUAUCUCUUGUGUGGAAAGAACAUGCGGAAACAUUUAUCAUGAGUUGCAGCUAGGUGUUUCGCCGGAUUUUCCAAGAGAAUCAAAUCCACUCUUUGUUGAUGAUUUCAGAGGGCUUAGUGCUUCAUUGAGAUUGAUUCAAGCUAAAAAUCUUCACGGUGGGGGUAGAUUUGGUGGUACCGGGGCCCCUUUUUUGAAUAGCAAUGGGCAUAUUGUAGGGUUAUAUAGCUUUACACAUUAUGAAGAAGAUUAUGCUAUUCAAGUUGCUGAAAUUCAGAAAGCAUUGAUGUCUGUAAGGCAUUAAUCUUUGACAAGUAGUAGUAAAGAUUCUAAUUAGCUAAGCAAAGUAGUAUAAAUAGGAGUAGAGUAGUAUGUGUAAGAAAAUCUGUAUUCGAUCAUUUGUAACACAUUAACUUCAAUCUAUCAAUUAACUUGUCUUCUAUUGUUGUGUUUUCUUGCUUUGUUUGAGCUGUUAGUCUAACCUUGAGGGCGUAGUACGUUGCAUCCCCUGUCUUUUUGACAUCUUAUCCUUGUCAAUUCUUCACUGUUGUUCGUUAUGAAGUUUGGUGUGCAGUUCUCAGCUUCUGUUGUCUUACUGCUGUCCAUUUCUUCUUCUGGUAGAUUUAUGACGCUUCUUUUGUAGUAGAAACAUAUUAACUUGAUGGGUAAUAUUUUUCAUUAAAUAUGUCCAUGCUGCUGUACUUUUCGGCUUGUUUCCAUAUUUUUGUUUGCUAACCUUCGUCAUUGUUAUUGUUGUAAUAUUCUUGACAGGCAUCAUGUUUCUUGGAGCUCUUGUAAACCUGAUUUCUUACCUAUUGCCAUGACUUGUUGGAAGUUUAGGACUCACCUCUUUAACAUUGCUGUACUGUUAUGGCAUUUGCAGAGACAUGGGUUACAAGUUGAGCUCCUCCAGCCUCUAUUAUACUAGCAUCUCUGAAGUUCAUCUAGUUUUACGUUUUCUUAUGCAGGAUCUUCUCUGUACUGGGCUUUCAUAGCAUUUAUUGAUCUGCUUCUAUUUUUGUUUGAUAUUAUUUUUGCUGUCACGAUAGCUAAUAUGUUACCUGGAUAAGACUUGCUGAUCCUGUUUUGUA
Chenopodium quinoa (quinoa) is the source of this 1862-nucleotide long non-coding RNA. RefSeq lists it as uncharacterized. The transcript is spliced from 2 exons. The record is from RefSeq and is a predicted model, not a curated record. NCBI's taxonomy places the organism in Eukaryota, Viridiplantae, Streptophyta, Magnoliopsida, Caryophyllales, Amaranthaceae.